GAUGAACGCUGGCGGCGUGCUUAAUACAUGCAAGUCGAGCGAACGGACGAGAAGCUUGUUUCUUUGAUGUUAGCGGAGGACGGGUGAGUAACAUGUGGAUACUCUACUUAUAAUACUGGGAUAACUUCGGGAAACCGGAGCUUAUACCGGAUAAUAUUUUGAAGCGUAUGGUUGAAAAGAGAAAGACGGUGUUGCUGUCACUUAUAGAUGGAUCUGAGCUGGAUUGGCUAGUAGGUAAGGUAACGGCUUAUCAAGGCAAGCAUGCAUAGCCGACCUGUGAGAGUGAUCGGCCACACUGGAACUGGAACACGGUCCAGACUCCUACGAUAGGCAGCAGUAGGGUAUCUUCCGCAAUGGUCGAGAACCUGGCAGAGCGACGCCACGUGAGUUAUGAAGAUCUUCCGAUCGUAAAACUCUGUUAUUAGUUAAGAACAUAUGUGUAAUUAGCUGUACACAUCUUGACGGUACCUAAUCAGAAAGCCACGGCUAACUACGUG
Molecule: ribosomal RNA, 497 nt
Filed under: uncultured bacterium
Lineage: Bacteria
Description: partial 16S ribosomal RNA
Rfam family: Bacterial small subunit ribosomal RNA
Source: RNAcentral